CAGCCGUAAACUAUGCGCGUUAGGUGUAUCGGUGACCACGAGUUACCGAGGUGCCGAAGGGAAACCGUGAAACGUGCCGCCUGGAAGUACGGUCGCAAGGCUGAAACUUAAAGGAAUUGGCGGGGGAGCACCACAACAGGUGGAGCCUGCGGUUUAACUGGACUCAACGCCGGGAAGCUCACCGGAUAGGACAGCAGAAUGAUUGCCGGGCUGAAGACCCUGCAUGACUAGCUGAGAGGAGGUGCAUGGCGUCAGUGACU
This 260-nucleotide ribosomal RNA is filed under the name uncultured archaeon. RNAcentral describes it as "partial 16S ribosomal RNA". It matches the Rfam family "Archaeal small subunit ribosomal RNA", at positions 748 to 1008 of the family's 1478-position model. The record is from RNAcentral.